GAGAAUGAUGCUGGUUACAAUGAUCCUACUGGACCCCACUACAUCACGGAGAUCUCUGUCGCUGUCGCGCAGAGUCUGUUGGCCGUUACAUAUACGGUCACUUACAGCAGCGAAAACUGCUCUACAGCCAAUGCCACUAUGUCUUUAAAAGUUCUCAACUUGAAUCCAUUUCAAGCGGACAACACUCGGUACGAGUUCACGAUUUUAAAAGUUCGAUGCACCGUACUACUCUUUUCUGCCCCAGUAGAAGCAGUCAUACAAAUGUAUGGUCCAGAAGUCAACGGGUUUGUCAAUGUACCAGCACUUGUAAUCCGAGGAAUGCAAAUUAUACCAGAUGCAUCAACCCCGAACACAUCGCAA
Molecule: long non-coding RNA, 360 nt
Organism: Dreissena polymorpha
Lineage: Eukaryota; Metazoa; Mollusca; Bivalvia; Myida; Dreissenidae
Exons: 4
Source: RefSeq, a predicted model, not a curated record